This is a non-coding RNA of Bifiguratus adelaidae, 71 nucleotides long. NCBI's taxonomy places the organism in Eukaryota, Fungi, Mucoromycota, Endogonomycetes, Endogonales. The record is from the annotation of a GenBank genome assembly.
GCAUUCUUAGUUCAGCGGUAGAAUUCCUGCCUUCCAAGCAGGAGGCCGGGGUUCGACUCCCCGAGAAUGCA